This 729-nucleotide long non-coding RNA is filed under the name Homo sapiens (human). Its description in RNAcentral is "HSALNT0291172". The record is from RNAcentral. Lineage: Eukaryota; Metazoa; Chordata; Mammalia; Primates; Hominidae.
GCCAUGUUUGUAUGCUUUGACUCCUGCCCCUCCAGCUUCCCGGAGGGGAUACCCCAAAAUGAAGGCCUCAGAAGCAACUGAGACUGACUGAUCCAGGAAUGCCUAUCUGAUCCAAGUAGGCCAAUCAGGUCCUUUGUCUGGGGCUUGGGAAUCUGCAUUCCACUGGCUGGGACUGGCCCCUGAACUGAGAACAGGGAUAGGGAAGCUGGCCCAGAGAGAGGAAGGUGAGUGCAAAUUCACACAGCAAACAAGCGUCAGAGCCAGAGCCUGGGGAUUCUCCUCGCCCGCCCAGAUCUCCUCGGAACCUUCACCUUCCUCUUGGGCCCUGGAAAUGAGGCAUGUGCGCGCCUCCUCCGUGCACCCAGGGCCAGGCGUUGAAGACGGAAGGGGCGAUUCCUGCGGGUGUUCUUCUCGGAGCUGAGCCUCUGCGAUGCCCUGCCAGAUGUAACUCUGGGAGUUGAGAUCCUGUGGUGAACCAGGCAGAUAAGAUCCCUGCUAUCGUGGGACAGGUAGGAUUUUAUAAUUGGAGGGAAUGAAACCCAGAGUAAAGGAGCAAAGUUAUUUUUUUUAAAGACUGAUGAAAUUCCGGAUGUGCUGAAGAACCAGCUGGAAGCUUGUAGUUAGGGGGCUGUUCCAGCAGUAGGGCAGACUCGGGAGUGGGGGUGAGGGCUUGUUUAGAAAGAAGCAGGAAGCCAGAGAAUGCCUCUCAACCCACACCCAUUGUGUGUA